Salvia splendens (bonfire salvia) is the source of this 156-nucleotide long non-coding RNA. RefSeq lists it as uncharacterized. The transcript has 3 exons. The record is from RefSeq and is a predicted model, not a curated record. NCBI's taxonomy places the organism in Eukaryota, Viridiplantae, Streptophyta, Magnoliopsida, Lamiales, Lamiaceae.
AUACUUCACAGCUGCAACAUUUGUAGGAUAUUGCUGGUACUUUGGCGACUGAAGCAGCGGAAGACUCUGCUCAAGUAGCUAAGCUAAGUUCAACUCUUGAAUAUUGUUGAUCACAAGAGAAGAAAGAUUUUACAACAAAUGAAAAACGACGCGGAG